GACGAACGCUGGCGGCGUGCCUAAUACAUGCAAGUUGAACGAAGUUGCUUUAACUGGUGCUUGCACCGACUUAAACAACUGAGUGGCGAACGGGUGAGUAACACGUGGGGUAACCUGCCCCAAAGUGGGGGGAUAACAUUUGGAAACAGAUGCUAAUACCGCAUAACCACAGAAACCUCAUGGUUUCUGUGUCAAAGAUGGUUUCGGCUAUCACUUUGGGAUGGACCCGCGGCGUAUUAG
RNAcentral lists this ribosomal RNA (240 nucleotides) under uncultured bacterium. RNAcentral describes it as "partial 16S ribosomal RNA". It matches the Rfam family "Bacterial small subunit ribosomal RNA", at positions 28 to 244 of the family's 1533-position model. The record is from RNAcentral.